Molecule: ribosomal RNA, 468 nt
Filed under: uncultured bacterium
Lineage: Bacteria
Description: partial 16S ribosomal RNA
Rfam family: Bacterial small subunit ribosomal RNA
Source: RNAcentral
GACGAACGCUGGCGGCGUGCUUAACACAUGCAAGUCGAACGGAAAGGCCCUGCUUUUGUGGGGUGCUCGAGUGGCGAACGGGUGAGUAACACGUGAGUAACCUGCCCUUGACUUUGGUAUAACUUCAGGAAACUGGGGCUAAUACCGGAUAUGAGCUCCUGCUGCAUGGUGUUGGUUUGAAUGUUUCGGCGGUUGUGGAUGGACUCGCUGCUUAUCAGCUUUUUUGUUGGGUAGUGGCUUACCAAGGCUUUGACGGGUAGCCGGCCUGAGAGGGUGACCGGCCAAAAUGGGACUGAGAGACGGCCCAGAAUGCUACGGGAGGCAGCAGUGGGGAAUAUUGCACAAUGGGAGGAAGCAUGAUGAAGAAACGCAGCGAGCGGGAUGACGGCAUUCGGGUUGUAAAAAGAUUUGGAAUGUGACGAAGCGUGAGUGACGGUAAUGGGUAAAGAAGCACCGGCUAACUACGUG